GGAGGGAUAGGUGAACAAUAUCUAUGGUACACCCUCCGACUAUUGGAGCACUGUGCAAGCCAAGGAGCAGAGCUUAGAUCCUUUGUAUGUACACAAUGAUGCGUCAUCCUUCAAGCUCUCCGAAGUAAAUUUUCGGAUGCAUGCGACUUGGGAAAAGAGAGUCCAAAACUCCCCAACACAUGCCAAUUGUCAAGCUCCGGAAGCACCAACUUUAUUUUUUUUCUUUCUUUUUUCUGCAAUUUUUUUUUUUAUGCUCCCUCCGAAGUGGUCUGCCGAUUUCUGCACCUGAGAAAAGUCGGGGCGGGAGGGAUAGGUGAGUACAUCCUCCGACUAUAGGAGCACUGUGCAAGCUAGGAAUUAGAGCGUAGAUCCUUUAAAUGAGAUGUGUAUGGAUAUAAUGAAAUGUCGUCCUCCGAGCUCUCUAGAUUAAAUUCUCGGACGCAUGCACCGAGGAAACAAAAUUAAAGAAGUAUGUGCCAACUGCAAAGGAUGUCUUGAAGUGGAAUCCCUUUCUAAUCACUCUCAGCUCUCCCGUUGGUGGUCGGCCGGCCGGCUAGUCUCUCUCCUCGGUUGUUAACGAGGUCUGUUCUCUCUCUCUCUCUCUCUUCCCCAAAAUCCUCGCCAUAGAUCUCGUUUCGUGGCGCUUCUCCUGAGGAAACCACCACCACCACUCUCUUCCUAGAUCUCCGAAAGCGUCCACCAAAAGGGAUAUGGAGCGCUCUCAAGCUAGGAUCCGCGAAUCGGGAGAAGGCGGAGAGGAGAAGGAGAGCUAGGUUUCCCUUGAGGCUUGCCAGCUCGGGGUGCGGGGGCAAAUGAGGGAAACCCUAGGGUGGAAUCGCCCGAUCGUAGAGGCUUCAGAGCUUGGAUCCCUUGGGAGCGAAGGAAGAGCAGGAAUAAUCCAUAAGAAAAGAUAGGAGAAGGAAGCUUGGAACCAGAGAGAAGGAAGAGGAGACCAGAGCCCGGCUACGGUGAAACAAUCCGGGGUAGGCCUAUCAGCCUCUCUUCUUCUCUUCUUAGUUUCUCGAUGUGGUAUGAUGGAUGAGAUUUAAGUUAUCGAUGGCCGAUUUGUAUGAUUUGGGUUGGUAUAGCACCGAUCUGUUGAUGGUUUGGGAGUUUUAUUGGUUCAUUUUGCUGUUUGGCUAUUGAAUAGGCGUGAAUUUUUGGGUUUCUUUCCUUGAUUCUGUUUUAGGAAGCCGCUUUUUGAUUUGAUUAAACGGACCGUGGUGUGGAAGAUUGCAAAGAAGCUAUUGCAGCCGUGAGACGCUUCUUGUGUUAUUUCUACUGUAAUUUAUAAUUUAUAAUUUAUAAAUAUGCUUUCUAUAUUAUUUCUAUUGUAAAAGAAAGAUCAUAUAAAUUGGACAUAUGUUCUAA
Long non-coding RNA from Phoenix dactylifera (date palm), 1371 nucleotides. RefSeq lists it as uncharacterized. NCBI's taxonomy places the organism in Eukaryota, Viridiplantae, Streptophyta, Magnoliopsida, Arecales, Arecaceae. The record is from RefSeq and is a predicted model, not a curated record.